This 915-nucleotide ribosomal RNA is filed under the name uncultured bacterium. RNAcentral's name for it is "bacterial SSU rRNA". It matches the Rfam family "Bacterial small subunit ribosomal RNA", at positions 56 to 965 of the family's 1533-position model. The record is from RNAcentral.
UGCAAGUCGAACGGGGUUUAUUUAAGCUUGCUUUGAUAAGCCUAGUGGCGGACGGGUGAGUAACACGUGAGCAACCUGCCCUGAUGUGGGGGAUAGCCCGGGGAAACUCGGAUUAAUACCGCAUGUGAUCGCAAGAUUAAAGGUGGCGCAAGCUGCCGCAUCAGGAUGGGCUCGCGGCCUAUCAGUUUGUUGGUGAGGUAACGGCUCACCAAGACUACGACGGGUAGCUGGUCUGAGAGGACGACCAGUCACACUGGAACUGAGACACGGUCCAGACACCUACGGGUGGCAGCAGUCGAGAAUCAUUCGCAAUGGGGGAAACCCUGACGGUGCGACGCCGCGUGGAGGAUGAAGGCCCUAGGGUCGUAAACUCCUGUCAUCAAGGAGUAAGUCCUUAUAUAGUAACUGAUAUAAGGUUUGAUAGUACUUGAAGAGGAAGGGACGGCUAACUUCGUGCCAGCAGCCGCGGUAAUACGAAGGUCCCAAGCGUUGUUCGGAUUUACUGGGCGUAAAGCGUCUGUAGGCGGUGGGGUAAGUCAGAUGUGAAAUCCCAGGGCUCAACCCUGGAACUGCAUCCGAUACUGCCUCACUAGAGUAUUGGAGGGGAGUCUGGAAUUCUCGGUGUAGCAGUGAAAUGCGUAGAUAUCGAGAGGAACACUAGUGGCGAAGGCGAGACUCUGGACAAUAACUGACGCUGAGAGACGAAGGCCAGGGUAGCGAAAAGGAUUAGAUACCCUUGUAGUCCUGGCAGUAAACGGUGCACGCUUGGUGUAGGAGGAUUCGACCCCUUCUGUGCCGGAGCUAACGCGUUAAGCGUGCCGCCUGGGGAGUACGGUCGCAAGACUAAAACUCAAAGAAAUUGACGGGGACCCGCACAAGCGGUGGAGCAUGUGGCUUAAUUCGAUGCAACGCGAA